AACGUAGGAGCCAAGCGUUAUCCGAAUUCACUGGGCGUAAAGCGCGUGCAGGCGGUCUGGUAAGUUGGAUGUGAAAUCUCCUGGCUCAACUGGGAGAGGCCGUUCAAUACUGUCAGACUAGAGGGCGACAGAGGGAGGUUGAAUUCCCGGUGUAGUGGUGAAAUGCGUAGGUAUCGGGAGGAAUACCAGAGGCGAAGGCGACCUCCUGGGUCGCACCUGACGCUCAGACGCGAAAGCUAGGGGAGCAAACGGG
Molecule: ribosomal RNA, 253 nt
Filed under: uncultured bacterium
Lineage: Bacteria
Description: partial 16S ribosomal RNA
Rfam family: Bacterial small subunit ribosomal RNA
Source: RNAcentral